ACAAUGGUCUUGUAAGCCAUAAAAGAAAACUAUUUUCUAAGGGUAU
Molecule: transfer RNA, 46 nt
Filed under: Loxodonta cyclotis (African forest elephant)
Lineage: Eukaryota; Metazoa; Chordata; Mammalia; Proboscidea; Elephantidae
Description: partial tRNA-Thr
Source: RNAcentral